RNAcentral lists this long non-coding RNA (617 nucleotides) under Citrus x clementina. RNAcentral describes it as "Citrus clementina (C. clementina) long non-coding RNA (CCLE_LNC006719)". The record is from RNAcentral. Lineage: Eukaryota; Viridiplantae; Streptophyta; Magnoliopsida; Sapindales; Rutaceae.
UAACUCCAAUAAAUAAUUUUUUUAGAUCCAUCACUGCUUUAAUAUCGUAACACUGGUGUCCAACCACACUACGGAAUAGUGCCUAAUUCAUUUAUUAAAAAGUUUAAGGGAGUUGUUUUGAAGUUUGUGGUGGCUGUGUUUCGCGUCAUUGCUUUGAUAGAAACGGCACCGUUGCCAGCGCCAUCCAUGGGCAAAGGGAUAUACCAUUUAAAUGGAGUUUUUGGGCCAUCACUUCACGUCCUUUUUUUUCUUGUCAGCUAGUGCUUUCUUGAAGCAUUAAAUUUGAUGGGUAAUUCUUAUACAAUUUUUAUUGUACUGCUAAAUUCGAUCGUCCUUAGCCCAUAGAUUUCUUUUUUUUAAGAGGUAGCCCAUACAAAAUUAUUUACACAGACAUAGUAGUGUAGAAAAUGACCACAUGGGUCUUGACUCACUCUAGCCCAAAAGACAAGCUUAAGAAAGAAUGGAAGGAGGCCCAAAACUGUUCAAUAAUGUAAAUGUCGUGUUUGAUAUAAUAAUAAUAAUACUAAUAAAAAUUAUAUUAGUUGUCACAUAUCCUUGUGGCCCAGUCUAGAAAUUUGAACACCUUUUCUUUUUGACACAAAAUUUUCUAUGAUUAC